UACGGAGGAGGCAAGCGUUAUCCGGAAUGAUUGGGCGUAAAGCGUCCGCAGGUGGCUGUGUAAGUCUGCUGUUAAAGAGUCUAGCUCAACUAGAUACAAGCAGUGGAAACUACACGGCUAGAGUACGUUCGGGGCAGAGGGAAUUCCUGGUGUAGCGGUGAAAUGCGUAGAGAUCAGGAAGAACACCGGUGGCGAAGGCGCUCUGCUAGGCCGUAACUGACACUGAGGGACGAAAGCUAGGGGAGCGAAUGGG
Molecule: ribosomal RNA, 253 nt
Filed under: uncultured bacterium
Lineage: Bacteria
Description: partial 16S ribosomal RNA
Rfam family: Bacterial small subunit ribosomal RNA
Source: RNAcentral